Molecule: long non-coding RNA, 399 nt
Organism: Trichomycterus rosablanca
Lineage: Eukaryota; Metazoa; Chordata; Actinopteri; Siluriformes; Trichomycteridae
Exons: 3
Source: RefSeq, a predicted model, not a curated record
ACAACCUUGGUUGGUUUAUUUAACACUCCAGUCAGUAGGUGAGGAGCAGAAGUGGCAUCCAGCCAUGAAAAAUGGGUUGUGAUAAGGCGAGGUUUGAAACACAGCUUUGCGACUGACGCAAUAUGUGCAAUACUUAAUAUACCGAGACCUGGGAAACUGUAUUUCGUUCUAUUAUGUACGUGGUUGAAGGACAAUAAAGCUGAGUCUGAGAUCUUAUCAUGGGCACUGGACAGGUCACCAGUGCAUCACAGGGCAAACACGUCUUUGCAUGUCUUCGGACUGUGGGAGCAAACUGGAGUCCCUGGAGGAAACCCACACAAACACGAGGAGAACAUGCAAACGCCCCAAAGGAAGAAACCUGGACCCAUCUGGGAAUAAAAAAACCUUUUUAUAGUUUAA